Molecule: ribosomal RNA, 255 nt
Filed under: uncultured prokaryote
Description: partial 16S ribosomal RNA
Rfam family: Bacterial small subunit ribosomal RNA
Source: RNAcentral
AAUACGGAGGGUCCAAGCGUUAUCCGGAAUCAUUGGGUUUAAAGGGUGCGCAGGCGGUAAAGUAAGUCAGUGGUGAAAUCCCUUCGCUCAACGAAGGAACUGCCAUUGAUACUGCUAUACUUGAAUAUAGUUGAAGUAGGCGGAAUGUGUAGUGUAGCGGUGAAAUGCUUAGAUAUUACACAGAACACCGAUAGCGAAGGCAGCUUACUAAACUAAUAUUGACGCUCAUGCACGAAAGCGUGGGGAGCGAACGGG